UUCACUCAAAGCUUCGCAAUA
Molecule: non-coding RNA, 21 nt
Filed under: Caenorhabditis elegans
Lineage: Eukaryota; Metazoa; Nematoda; Chromadorea; Rhabditida; Rhabditidae
Source: RNAcentral